RNAcentral lists this transfer RNA (72 nucleotides) under Gottfriedia endophytica. It matches the Rfam family "tRNA". From Rfam's summary of the family: Transfer RNA (tRNA) molecules are approximately 80 nucleotides in length. Their secondary structure includes four short double-helical elements and three loops (D, anti-codon, and T loops). The record is from Rfam by way of RNAcentral. Lineage: Bacteria; Bacillati; Bacillota; Bacilli; Caryophanales; Bacillaceae.
GCGGAAGUAGUUCAGUGGUAGAAUACAACCUUGCCAAGGUUGGGGUCGCGAGUUCGAGCCUCGUCUUCCGCU